This 72-nucleotide transfer RNA is filed under the name Brachystegia allenii. Its description in RNAcentral is "tRNA-Ile". It matches the Rfam family "tRNA". From Rfam's summary of the family: Transfer RNA (tRNA) molecules are approximately 80 nucleotides in length. The record is from RNAcentral. Lineage: Eukaryota; Viridiplantae; Streptophyta; Magnoliopsida; Fabales; Fabaceae.
AUUAGCUCAGUGGUAGAGCGCGCCCCUGAUAAUUGCGAGGUCUCUGGUUCAAGUCCAGGAUGGCCCAGCUGC